UACGGAGGGUGCAAGCGUUAUCCGGAUUCACUGGGUUUAAAGGGUGCGUAGGCGGACUUAUAAGUCAGUGGUGAAAGCCGAUAGCUUAACUAUCGAACUGCCAUUGAUACUGUAAGUCUAGAGUAUAGAUGAUGUUGGCGGAAUAUGACAUGUAGCGGUGAAAUGCAUAGAUAUGUCAUAGAACACCGAUUGCGAAGGCAGCUGACAAAACUAUAACUGACGCUGAUGCACGAAAGUGCGGGGAUCAAACAGG
This 253-nucleotide ribosomal RNA is filed under the name uncultured bacterium. Its description in RNAcentral is "partial 16S ribosomal RNA". It matches the Rfam family "Bacterial small subunit ribosomal RNA", at positions 524 to 776 of the family's 1533-position model. The record is from RNAcentral.